This 253-nucleotide ribosomal RNA is filed under the name uncultured bacterium. RNAcentral's name for it is "partial 16S ribosomal RNA". It matches the Rfam family "Bacterial small subunit ribosomal RNA", at positions 524 to 776 of the family's 1533-position model. The record is from RNAcentral.
UACGUAGGUGGCUAGCGUUGUCCGGAUUUACUGGGCGUAAAGAGCGCGCAGGCGGUCGUUCAAGUCGAGUGUGAAAGCCCCCGGCUCAACUGGGGAGGGUCACUCGAUACUGAUCGACUCGAAGGCAGGAGAGGGAAGCGGAAUUCCCGGUGUAGUGGUGAAAUGCGUAGAUAUCGGGAGGAACACCAGUGGCGAAGGCGGCUUUCUGGCCUGUUCUUGACGCUGAGGCGCGAAAGCGUGGGGAGCGAACAGG